Molecule: long non-coding RNA, 295 nt
Filed under: Carica papaya (papaya)
Lineage: Eukaryota; Viridiplantae; Streptophyta; Magnoliopsida; Brassicales; Caricaceae
Description: long non-coding RNA (CPAP_LNC005705)
Source: RNAcentral
UAUGGUUAAAAAAUAGAGUGCAUCAGAAAUACAAUUGACCAGGUAUGGUCCCUAAAGGUCAACACGUAUCAAACUAAAAAUGUCAUUGGUAUUGAUGAAAGUUUUAGGGAAAGACAAACGUUGUUGUUUUGCCAAUAGGUAUAUUUUACAAUCAUGUAAAGUUGCACUGCCUGAUAACUUUAGACUGGGGAUGUGAAUCAAUUUUUUAUGGAUGUGUGGCCGAAUCUUUUGUGCCAUAGUUGUAGAUUGUUUUCUUCGGUGUGGCUAAUGCAUGCUUUGUUAGAGUCCAUGUCUU